CGAACUUUCAGUGCUUCCAAAAGCAGGGGCAGAGGGCAACUGCUGAGGGGGGCAUUGUAUAGCCUAACCUUCCCAGAAUUUGAUUUAAAAGUAUGAUCUUCACAGCGUUGGCCAGCAAUAUCAUGGUCACUCCCUACGUCAUUCCCUGGGAGAAAAACAACCCUAGGUUACCUAAACAAUGUUGGCGAAGACCAAAUAUUUAUUAACAUCCUAAGCAGCCCCAUAAUCAAGCCAAUGCUGAUAGGGACAAAGAAGGUGCCAUGUGCAGUUUUUCUCCAUGUCCCCACAAUAUCUGCUCUGAAUUUUAAAAGGCAAUUACUGGGGGAGAAGGAAGCCUAUAUAUUAUGUAGGAUCCAAGUCUCAAACUGCUUUCCUAGGGAGUGUGAGAUUCUUGGAGAUUAAGUGCAGUACCUUUCUGUCUUGAGCCUUGUAGGCUGCCCCUCUAAUUUAAUGCCAGUCUUGAAAUAAACAGAAUGCUUUCCAAGUCAUCGCUAAUUUUAACACUUUAAAUUUAGAAUUGCUUAGAAUUGACUCAACACUGCCUCCUUGCUGAAUGGAUAAUUCAAGCAAACAACUCAAGAGCUGGAUGCUGCCCAGACAGGUAGGCAGCCAGAUAAAGUGAGUGUCCAGGGAAAGAGCAGUAAGGGUCAGAAGAGAAAGAGGCUGGUGUUCUCACUGCCUCCUGCCUUCCUUAUGACUGUCUGUUCAGAAGUCCUCCUAGCAUCUUUCUUCUGCCUUCCCCUGCUCCUGUCCCUGAAACCUUUUCUUCAAAAGAAGUGGAAAAGAGGAACUGGGAACCCAUAUAGCAACAGCAUCACCUGGAAUGAAUUCCUUUAGAACAUACUGUCUUGGAAAUCUGAAGCCUGCAGGGCUGGACAGGCAAGAAGAGCAGUGAGCACUGCAUGAACCUUUCUCUCCUUCCCUCCCUUACGUAUGACUCCUCCCAUAAUCCGCACACAUGGACUGAACCAAGUGAGGGUAUUUUUCUGUUUCCUACCUCAUAGAAGGGCAUAGAGUGGACACGGUCUAAGGUUAGUUCCUGAACUAAGUACCCACAUAUGCAGAACUUUAUUUAAAGCUGCUGAAAUCUUUGUAUAACAGAUAGAUCAAUAGGACUGAAAACUACUGAUGGUUUUACUUACUUGUUGAACGUGACUAAAUUCCAUGGCACCAUUUAGAAAUUGUGUUGUAUAGUUUUCGUAUGUUGCUUAAGAAACAGUUUGGCAUAAUGGUUAAAAG
RNAcentral lists this long non-coding RNA (1239 nucleotides) under Pan troglodytes (chimpanzee). RNAcentral describes it as "long non-coding RNA NONPTRT001861". The record is from RNAcentral. Lineage: Eukaryota; Metazoa; Chordata; Mammalia; Primates; Hominidae.